AACGAACGCUGGCGGCAUGCCUAACACAUGCAAGUCGAACGAGAUCCUUCGGGGUCUAGUGGCGCACGGGUGCGUAACGCGUGGGAAUCUGCCCUUAGGUUCGGAAUAACAGUUAGAAAUGGCUGCUAAUACCGGAUGAUGACGUUAAGUCCAAAGAUUUAUCGCCUGAGGAUGAGCCCGCGUAGGAUUAGCUAGUUGGUGUGGUAAAGGCGCACCAAGGCGACGAUCCUUAGCUGGUCUGAGAGGAUGAUCAGCCACACUGGGACUGAGACACGGCCCAGACUCCUACGGGAGGCAGCAGUGGGGAAUAUUGGACAAUGGGCGCAAGCCUGAUCCAGCAAUGCCGCGUGAGUGAUGAAGGCCUUAGGGUUGUAAAGCUCUUUUACCCGGGAUGAUAAUGACAGUACCGGGAGAAUAAGCCCCGGCUAACUCCGUG
This 436-nucleotide ribosomal RNA is filed under the name uncultured bacterium. RNAcentral's name for it is "partial 16S ribosomal RNA". It matches the Rfam family "Bacterial small subunit ribosomal RNA", at positions 29 to 507 of the family's 1533-position model. The record is from RNAcentral.